This 468-nucleotide ribosomal RNA is filed under the name uncultured bacterium. RNAcentral's name for it is "partial 16S ribosomal RNA". It matches the Rfam family "Bacterial small subunit ribosomal RNA", at positions 28 to 507 of the family's 1533-position model. The record is from RNAcentral.
GACGAACGCUGGCGGCGUGCUUAACACAUGCAAGUCGAACGGAAAGGCCCUGCUUUUGUGGGGUGCUCGAGUGGCGAACGGGUGAGUAACACGUGAGUAACCUGCCCUUGACUUUGGGAUAACUUCAGGAAAUUGGGGCUAAUACCGGAUAGGAGCUCCUGCUGCAUGGUGGGGGUUGGAAAGUUUCGGCGGUUGGGGAUGGACUCGCGGCUUAUCAGCUUGUUGGUGGGGUAGUGGCUUACCAAGGCUUUGACGGGUAGCCGGCCUGAGAGGGUGACCGGCCACAUUGGGACUGAGAUACGGCCCAGACUCCUACGGGAGGCAGCAGUGGGGAAUAUUGCACAAUGGGCGGAAGCCUGAUGCAGCAGCGCCGCGUGCGGGAUGACGGCCUUCGGGUUGUAAACCGCUUUCGCCUGUGACGAAGCGUGAGUGACGGUAAUGGGUAAAGAAGCACCGGCUAACUACGUG